UGGAUUCUCAAAAAUUAGAGUUCUUCUGAUUCCCAAUCUGUCAGAAUUGACGACAUCGGAAGGUGGCAAAAUUGAGUUCGACGAGGAGCUAGAAUCGAUACACUCACCGGAGAAAUUGGAUCUUGUGAGAGAACAUCUAUCCAACAUCCUCAGACGUGAUGAGACGACAACAACCCAAAACAGAAAAACCUUCAGCAGACUCCAACUCGGACGGUUAUACGCCUCAUCGAUCAUGUACGGUUACUUUCUAGAGGCGGCAUCGGCUCGACAUCGAUUGGAAGAGAGAGUUUACGAAUCAGAUCACAAGAAAGACCAACCACUCG
RNAcentral lists this long non-coding RNA (323 nucleotides) under Zostera marina. RNAcentral's name for it is "long non-coding RNA (ZMAR_LNC004970)". The record is from RNAcentral. Lineage: Eukaryota; Viridiplantae; Streptophyta; Magnoliopsida; Alismatales; Zosteraceae.